Molecule: non-coding RNA, 1846 nt
Organism: Paramuricea clavata
Lineage: Eukaryota; Metazoa; Cnidaria; Anthozoa; Malacalcyonacea; Plexauridae
Source: the annotation of a GenBank genome assembly
UGUGAUUCAAAUAUCAUUCCUGUCUGGUACUUGGGUCAAAUAGACAUAAGCAUACCAAAUCAUGCUAUGAAUUGAAAUACAAGUAUAGGGUGUGUAUUACUGUAUUGUUUAAAUAAAUAUAUUUUCCAGUUAACCCAGUAAGCUGCAUUGUGCCCCAAUGCACCCUACUUUACUAGUUUAUUUCACUUCAUCUAAUGCCAGAUGAUUUUACUUAUCGAGGGAGAGUGCUGCUGCUCAUUGAGCUCUGAUUGAGUUCACUGAAUGGCAGCACUUUCCCCUUGACAAGUGAAAUUGUCUGGUGUUAGACAGAGUAAAAUAAUCUUGCGUUCACUAAAGUAGCUACUUUUUCAAAAGCUCAACUAGGCUAAAGAUUCUUUGAUUUGAAAACCAAAGUGAUAGUGAACUAGUUAGUUGAAACAAACAGAAUUGUUUGAUUUAUUUACUUUCCACAACAUUGACAAUUAAAAUUUAAUUUGAUACUUUUCCAGUAUGCAUUCUUCAUUGACAUUAUAGAGGUUCAUAUUUGACUACCAUUACCAUUAAGGGACCAUCAAAUGCAUUUGAUAUAUUCGAUCAACCAUUAUAACCAAUCAGAUGCAUACUAAAGCCGCGUUCACACUAGCGGCCCAGGCCUGGCCUGGACCUAGCCUGGGUCUAGGUGUGAACGGGUUUUACCUGGCCUGAGCCUGGCCUAAGUCAAGAAAUCCAGGCCAGCAAAUGUAGGUGGCCUGGACCUGGCCUGGCCUUGAUCAUCACUGGUGUGAACAGGUUUUUCCUGUGCCUGGCCUGGGCGAGGCCCCGUUACCAUCGCAAUAUCUGCCCACAAUAAAAACUGGUCAGAUGAUUGUCAUACAAUUGGAGGGAAAAACAUUCAAAGCGCAAAAUUAAAUACUUUAGUGGAACACAAGGACGUUUAUAUUGACGCCUGAUUGCUUUGGCCUGGAGUUGGGCGUCAAGCCAGUGUGAAUGCGACACAAUUGGCCCAGGCCAGGUCAAGGCCAGGCCUGGGCCGCUGGUGUGAACGCGGCUUAAGGCAGUCAGAGAUAGUGCUAGUAGAACUCAAAUCUUAACCUCUACAAUGAAAGUGCGAGUUUAUUCAUAAACUAAUUAUACGUAAAUCAACUUUCAUGCAAUCAUCUAGUUAUGCACCAGUCAAUGUAAAUCCCUGCCCCCAACCGGGGAGGGGCGGGAGGUUUAGUGGGGAAAGUGGUCUGUUUUGAUUAUAAAUUUGCCCCGAUGAUGGGAGACUUGGACGGUGGUUAAUAUAUAUAUCCUGUGUUGCUGUUUUAGUUUUCUUGACAAGAAAAGUUUAAAUACAACAACAUAUUAAAUGAAUUUGAUUUUCUAUUGCUGAUCUAUGAUUAUACAAAACUAUUUUCCCGCGGUUGAGAGACAUGCAGGGGACAUUGAUGUCCCUGGGGGCGGGACAAUUUUGCUCUUUUACUACCCCUCCAAGUCAAAAUCCCUGCCCCUCCCCGGUUGGGGGGUUUACAUUGACUGGUGCAUUAAUUAAAGAAGUGUCAGUGCCACAUAUGUAGUAAAAGCCAACUUGUCAGUAAAGGCCACAGAGCAAGAUUGUAUUUCAAAGAUUGCCAGUGACAAAAACAAUUGAUAGACUGAUAGGCCUGAAAUAGAGUAUGCCAACAGUUAGUAUACUGCAAAUAACUAUUCUAUCAACAAGAUAAUGUGUGUUUUUACAAAUGUUUUUAUAUAUCAAUCCAAUGGCAUGUAACCUAAAAUUCAGCAGUGUCUGUGUAAUGUAAUACACCCUUACUUCUCAAUGGUCAAAUUAACUAUACUACAUUGUGUAUAAUAAUAUAUGGACUGGUUCAAAAAUAUAUUGAAU